CAUAUCACCCUGAAUGUCCCCAAACUUGUCUGAUCUCAGAAGGUAAGCAGAGUUGGGCCUGGUUAGUACUUGGAUGGGAGAAUAUGAAAAAGAAAUCAAGUA
RNAcentral lists this ribosomal RNA (102 nucleotides) under Microtus ochrogaster (prairie vole). The record is from RNAcentral. Lineage: Eukaryota; Metazoa; Chordata; Mammalia; Rodentia; Cricetidae.